This 190-nucleotide unclassified non-coding RNA is filed under the name uncultured Inocybe. RNAcentral's name for it is "sequence contains ITS2". The record is from RNAcentral. Lineage: Eukaryota; Fungi; Basidiomycota; Agaricomycetes; Agaricales; Cortinariaceae.
AAAUUCUCAACCACAUGCACAUUGAUUGCUGUGGCUUGGAUAUUGGGGGCAUCAUUUGCAGGCCUUGAAAAAGAGGUCUGCUCCCCUGAAAUGUAUUAGCGGUAUCUGCUACUACAGGUGUGAUAAUUUAUCUGUGCCUUUAGUAUUGUGCAAUGGUUAUACUGCUUCUAAACAACACACAUUUUGAUGA